GAUGAACGCUCGCUACAGGCUUAACACAUGCAAGUCGAGGGGAAACGACAUCGAAAGCUUGCUUUUGAUGGGCGUCGACCGGCGCACGGGUGAGUAACGCGUAUCCAACCUGCCCAUCACUUGGGAAUAACCUUGCGAAAGUAAGACUAAUACCCAAUGAUAUCCCACGAAGGCAUCGGAAUGGGAUUAAAGAUUUAUCGGUGAUGGAUGGGGAUGCGUCUGAUUAGCUUGUUGGCGGGGUAACGGCCCACCAAGGCAACGAUCAGUAGGGGUUCUGAGAGGAAGGUCCCCCACAUUGGAACUGAGACACGGUCCAAACUCCUACGGGAGGCAGCAGUGAGGAAUAGUGGUCAAUGGGCGAGAGCCUGAACCAGCCAAGUAGCGUGCAGGAAGACGGCCCUAUGGGUGGUAAACUGCUUUUAUAAGGGAAUAAAGUGGGUCACGUGUGACUUUUUGCAUGUACCUUAUGAAUAAGGACCGGCUAACUCCGUG
RNAcentral lists this ribosomal RNA (492 nucleotides) under uncultured bacterium. Its description in RNAcentral is "partial 16S ribosomal RNA". It matches the Rfam family "Bacterial small subunit ribosomal RNA", at positions 28 to 507 of the family's 1533-position model. The record is from RNAcentral.